CGGAAUCUACUUUUUCGUGGGGGAUAACGUAGGGAAACUUACGCUAAUACCGCAUACGACCUACGGGUGAAAGCAGGGGACCUUCGGGCCUUGCGCGAUUGAAUGAGCCGAUGUCGGAUUAGCUAGUUGGCGGGGUAAAGGCCCACCAAGGCGACGAUCCGUAGCUGGUCUGAGAGGAUGAUCAGCCACACUGGAACUGAGACACGGUCCAGACUCCUACGGGAGGCAGCAGUGGGGAAUAUUGGACAAUGGGCGCAAGCCUGAUCCAGCCAUACCGCGUGGGUGAAGAAGGCCUUCGGGUUGUAAAGCCCUUUUGUUGGGAAAGAAAUCCAGCUGGCUAAUACCCGGUUGGGAUGACGGUACCCAAAGAAUAAGCACCGGCUAACUUCGUGCCAGCAGCCGCGGUAAUACGAAGGGUGCAAGCGUUACUCGGAAUUACUGGGCGUAAAGCGUGCGUAGGUGGUCGUUUAAGUCCGUUGUGAAAGCCCUGGGCUCAACCUGGGAACUGCAGUGGAUACUGGGCGACUAGAAUGUGGUAGAGGGUAGCGGAAUUCCUGGU
This 559-nucleotide ribosomal RNA is filed under the name uncultured bacterium. Its description in RNAcentral is "bacterial SSU rRNA". It matches the Rfam family "Bacterial small subunit ribosomal RNA", at positions 119 to 674 of the family's 1533-position model. The record is from RNAcentral.